RNAcentral lists this ribosomal RNA (462 nucleotides) under uncultured bacterium. Its description in RNAcentral is "bacterial SSU rRNA". It matches the Rfam family "Bacterial small subunit ribosomal RNA", at positions 28 to 507 of the family's 1533-position model. The record is from RNAcentral.
GACGAACGCUGGCGGCGUGCCUAACACAUGCAAGUCGAACGGAGUUAAGACUUCGGUUUUAACUUAGUGGCGAACGGGUGAGUAACGCGUGAGGAACCUGCCUUUCAGUGGGGGACAACAGUUGGAAACGACUGCUAAUACCGCAUAACAUGUACGGAUCGCAUGGUCUGAAUAUCAAAGGAGCAAUCCGCUGAAAGAUGGCCUGCACCUGAUUAGAUAGUUGGUGAGGUAACGGCUCACCAAGUCGACGAUCAGUAGCCGGACUGAGAGGUUGAACGGCCACAUUGGGACUGAGACACGGCCCAGACUCCUACGGGAGGCAGCAGUGGGGAUAUUGCGCAAUGGGGGAAACCCUGACGCAGCGAUGCCGCGUGGAGGAAGAAGGUCUUCGGAUCGGUAAACUUUUGUCUUCAGGGACGAUAAUGACGGUACCUGAGGAGGAAGCCAACGGCUAACUACGUG